ACCUAACUGACGAGUCCCAAAUAGGAUGAAGCGCCCGUCCAGGGU
This 45-nucleotide non-coding RNA is filed under the name Schistosoma bovis. Lineage: Eukaryota; Metazoa; Platyhelminthes; Trematoda; Strigeidida; Schistosomatidae. RNAcentral also lists the same sequence under 1 other name. The record is from RNAcentral.